RNAcentral lists this ribosomal RNA (899 nucleotides) under uncultured bacterium. RNAcentral describes it as "bacterial SSU rRNA". It matches the Rfam family "Bacterial small subunit ribosomal RNA", at positions 8 to 916 of the family's 1533-position model. The record is from RNAcentral.
AGAGUUUGAUCCUGGCUCAGGAUGAACGCUGGCGGCGUGCCUAAUACAUGCAAGUCGAACGAGGUGCUUGAGUAGCAAUACGAGAGUAUCCUAGUGGCGAACGGGUGAGUAACGCGUUGGUGACCUACCCCAAAGUGUGGGAUAACAGUUCGAAAGAACUGCUAAUACCGCAUGUGGUUAUUGGAUUUAGAAACUGAUAACUAAAGGAGCAAUUCGCUUUGGGAGGGACCUGCGUCCCAUCAGCUAGUUGGUGAGGUAAUGGCUCACCAAGGCUACGACGGGUAGGGGACCUGAGAGGGUGACCCCCCACAAUGGAACUGAAACACGGUCCAUACACCUACGGGUGGCAGCAGUAGGGAAUAUUGCACAAUGGGCGAAAGCCUGAUGCAGCAACGCCGCGUGCGCGAUGAAGGCCUUCGGGUCGUAAAGCGCUUUUCUGGGAGAUGAGAAAGGACAGUAUCUCAGGAAUAAGUCUCGGCUAACUACGUGCCAGCAGCCGCGGUAAAACGUAGGAGGCAAGCGUUAUCCGGAUUCACUGGGCGUAAAGCGCGUGCAGGCGGUUCGGUAAGUUGGGCGUGAAAUCUCCUGGCUUAACUAGGAGAGGUCGUUCAAUACUACCGAACUUGAGAGUGAUAGAGGAAGAUGGAAUUCCCGGUGUAGUGGUGAAAUGCGUAGAUAUCGGGAGGAACACCAGUGGCGAAAGCGAUCUUCUGGAUCAUUUCUGACGCUCAGACGCGAAAGCUAGGGUAGUAAACGGGAUUAGAGACCCCGGUAAUCCUAGCCGUAAACGAUGUAAACUUGGCGUCGGUGGCUUAAACUCCAUCGGUGCCGCAGCUAACGCGAUAAGUUUACCGCCUGGGGACUACGAUCGCAAGAUUAAAACUCAAAUGAAUUGACGG